RNAcentral lists this ribosomal RNA (465 nucleotides) under uncultured bacterium. Its description in RNAcentral is "partial 16S ribosomal RNA". It matches the Rfam family "Bacterial small subunit ribosomal RNA", at positions 28 to 507 of the family's 1533-position model. The record is from RNAcentral.
GACGAACGCUGGCGGCGUGCUUAACACAUGCAAGUCGAACGGAAAGGCCCUGCUUGCAGGGUACUCGAGUGGCGAACGGGUGAGUAACACGUGGGUGAUCUGCCCUGCACUUCGGGAUAAGCCUGGGAAACUGGGUCUAAUACCGGAUAGGAGCCAUUUUUAGUGUGAUGGUUGGAAAGUUUUUUCGGUGUAGGAUGAGCUCGCGGCCUAUCAGCUUGUUGGUGGGGUAAUGGCCUACCAAGGCGGCGACGGGUAGCCGGCCUGAGAGGGUGGACGGCCACAUUGGGACUGAGAGACGGCCCAGACUCCUACGGGAGGCAGCAGUGGGGAAGAUUGCACAAUGGGCGCAAGCCUGAUGCAGCGACGCCGCGUGGGGGAUGACGGCCUUCGGGUUGUAAACUCCGUUCGCUAGGGACGAAGCUUUUUGUGACGGUACCUAGAUAAGAAGCACCGGCUAACUACGUG